AAGACAUAGUAGAACUUAGUUCUAUAUAUCUGCCCAAUGACUUAAGUUAUAUGGCUUUAAAGUAGCAUAAUAAUUAGUUUAUUAAUUGUAAACUUGUAUGAAGACAGCAUUCUAGUAAAAUAUUUAACGAGAUUUUAAAAACUUAGAAUAUUAAUUAAAAUGUUAAUAUGCCCCCUAUGGACGAUAAGACCCUAAGACCUUAAUUAAAUUUAGCUGGGAUAGCUUUCUUAAAAGAUUAAAGACUAUAAAUUUAUUUAUAACCAAAAUUUUGCUCAUUAAAGGUACCUUAGGGAUAACAGCGCGAAAUAUUUUUAAAGUUCUUAUUAGUAAUAUAUUAGUGACCUCGAUGUUGAAUUAAGUAAUUUAGAGCUGCAGCAGGUUCUAUUUUAAGUCUGUUCGACUUUAUGUACUUACAUGAUUUGAGUUAAGAUCGACGUAAGCCAGAUUGG
Molecule: ribosomal RNA, 449 nt
Filed under: Caligus curtus
Lineage: Eukaryota; Metazoa; Arthropoda; Copepoda; Siphonostomatoida; Caligidae
Description: partial 16S small subunit ribosomal RNA
Rfam family: Bacterial large subunit ribosomal RNA (bases 147-449)
Source: RNAcentral